UCGCUUUGGCAGCACAUGUGCUAAAAGUCUAGUGAUACAGAGAUUACCAUGGCCCUGUGUGAGGAUAACAUGCAAAGUCAUGAAGCGUUCCAUAUGUCU
Small nuclear RNA from Myotis lucifugus (little brown bat), 99 nucleotides. The record is from Ensembl. Lineage: Eukaryota; Metazoa; Chordata; Mammalia; Chiroptera; Vespertilionidae.